UUCUUCUCUUUUUAGAAAAUGCAUACAAAAAAGGGAAAUUGCACCCAAUAAACACACAAAAAAAAAAAUUCACUAAAACUAACUAAAAACACCCCUCCCCCUCUUACUUUCUCUUCCUAUCUCUUUCUACUCUUUCUCUAAAAAUCUAAUUUCACUUUUUUUGACUAUUUAGCAAAUAAGCCCUACAAAAAAUAUCAUUGUAAAAAGAUAGGGAAAUUUGAUCCAAUAACAAAAAAAAACUACAUUUCAC
This 250-nucleotide long non-coding RNA is filed under the name Brassica rapa (field mustard). Its description in RNAcentral is "long non-coding RNA (BRAP_LNC002938)". Lineage: Eukaryota; Viridiplantae; Streptophyta; Magnoliopsida; Brassicales; Brassicaceae. The record is from RNAcentral.